Molecule: ribosomal RNA, 583 nt
Filed under: Ciboria cistophila
Lineage: Eukaryota; Fungi; Ascomycota; Leotiomycetes; Helotiales; Sclerotiniaceae
Description: eukaryotic LSU rRNA
Rfam family: 5.8S ribosomal RNA (bases 221-374)
Source: RNAcentral
GCGGGGUGUUUCGCACCGAACCGUUCCGUAGGUGAACCUGCGGAAGGAUCAUUACAGAGUUCACGCCCGAAAGGGUAGACCUCCCACCCUUGUGUACCUAAUACCGUGUUGCUUUGGCGAGCCGGCCCUCUGGCCCUCAGGCCCUCGAGCCUGAGCGCGCUCGCCAAGGGAUACCAAAACUCUUUUUGUUCAUGUCGUCUGAGCACUAUAUAAUAGUUAAAACUUUCAACAACGGAUCUCUUGGUUCUGGCAUCGAUGAAGAACGCAGCGAAAUGCGAUAAGUAAUGUGAAUUGCAGAAUUCAGUGAAUCAUCGAAUCUUUGAACGCACAUUGCGCCCCUUGGUAUUCCGGGGGGCAUGCCUGUUCGAGCGUCAUUUCAACCCUCAAGCUCAGCUUGGUAUUGAGCCCGUGCCAGCGAUGGCAGGCUCUAAAAUCAGUGGCGGCGCCGCUGGGUCCUGAACGUAGUAAUCUCUCUCGUUACAGGUGCUCGGCGUGCUUCUGCCAAAACCUCAAAUUUUUCUAUGGUUGACCUCGGAUCAGGUAGGGAUACCCGCUGAACUUAAGCAUAUCAAUAAGCGGAGGA